RNAcentral lists this ribosomal RNA (391 nucleotides) under uncultured bacterium. Its description in RNAcentral is "bacterial SSU rRNA". It matches the Rfam family "Bacterial small subunit ribosomal RNA", at positions 28 to 416 of the family's 1533-position model. The record is from RNAcentral.
GACGAACGCUGGCGGCGUGCUUAACACAUGCAAGUCGAACGAUGAAGCUAGAGCUUGCUCUGGUGAAUUAGUGGCGAACGGGUGAGUAACACGUGAGUAACCUGCCCCGAACUCUGGGAUAACUGCUGGAAACGGUAGCUAAUACUGGAUACGACCUACGAAGGCAUUUUCUGUAGGUGGAAAAGAAUUUCGGUUCGGGAUGGACUCGCGGCCUAUCAGCUUGUUGGUGAGGUAAUGGCUCACCAAGGCGACGACGGGUAGCCGGCCUGAGAGGGUGACCGGCCACACUGGGACUGAGACACGGCCCAGACUCCUACGGGAGGCAGCAGUGGGGAAUAUUGCACAAUGGGCGCAAGCCUGAUGCAGCAACGCCGCGUGAGGGAUGACGGCC